GAUGAAGAACGCAGCGAAAUGCGAUAAGUAAUGUGAAUUGCAGAAUUCAGUGAAUCAUCGAAUCUUUGAACGCACCUUGCACCCUUUGGCUAUUCCGAAGGGUAUGCCUGUUUGAGUAUCAUGAACACCUCAACUCUCAUGGUUUGCCAUGAUGAGCUUGGACUUUGGGGGUCUUGCUGGCCUGUGGUCAGCUCCUCUCAAAUGGAUUAGCUUGCCAGUGUUUGGUGGCAUCACAGGUGUGAUAACUAUCUACGCUUGUGGUUUUCCACCAGGUAACCUUCAGCAAUGGGGGUUCGCUGGGGCUCAUAAAUGUCUCUCCUCAGUGAGGACAGCUCUUUGAACGUUUGGUCUCAAAUCAGGUAGGACUACCCGCUGAACUUAAGCAUAUCAAUAAGCGGAGGA
Molecule: unclassified non-coding RNA, 402 nt
Filed under: soil metagenome
Description: partial contains 5.8S ribosomal RNA, internal transcribed spacer 2, and large subunit ribosomal RNA
Rfam family: 5.8S ribosomal RNA (bases 1-121)
Source: RNAcentral